UGACAGAUUUAAGGACCACACAGGUCAACUUCCUUUUGAAAGAAGAGUAAGGUAGCAGAGAAUUCAGUCCUCUCAGACAGAGAGGAAAAGAGAUUAUUCCUGCAAGUGCUUAGGUUAUACCUGGAGAGAUGAAAGAUUUAGGCACAUAUCCUCAGGCAAUUGAAAGAACUUAGAAAUCUCCGAAUUUGACUAAAUUUCUUAGAAAAGGUUAAGCAGUUUGGGCCCAUGACAAUGUUUAAAGAUUAAAAAAAAAAAUCAUUGUUGUAUAACUGAGUUCUAACUACAAAGUCCAUAUACAUUCUUUGGCUCAUUUCUUUUUUGGAAACUCUGGAUAAAGUUGGGUCAUAAUAAUCAAUAAUAAUGAAU
This 366-nucleotide long non-coding RNA is filed under the name Bos taurus (domestic cattle). RNAcentral's name for it is "long non-coding RNA NONBTAT019141". The record is from RNAcentral. Lineage: Eukaryota; Metazoa; Chordata; Mammalia; Artiodactyla; Bovidae.